UGGGGAAUUUUGCGCAAUGGGCGAAAGCCUGACGCAGCAACGCCGCGUGCGGGAUGAAGGCUCUCGGGUCGUAAACCGCUUUCAGCAGGGAUGAAAUUGACAGUACCUGCAGAAGAAGCCCCGGCUAAAUACGUGCCAGCAGCCGCGGUAAUACGUAUGGGGCAAGCGUUAUCCGGAUUCAUUGGGCGUAAAGAGCGCGUAGGCGGAUUGUUAAGUCAGAUGUGAAAACUGGGGGCUCAACCCGCAGCCUGCAUCUGAAACUGGCAGUCUUGAGUCUGGUAGAGGAGUGUGGAAUUCCCAGUGUAGCGGUGAAAUGCGCAGAUAUUGGGAGGAACACCAGUGGCGAAGGCGGCACUCUGGGCCACGACUGACGCUGAGGCGCGAAAGCUAGGGGAGCAAACA
This 402-nucleotide ribosomal RNA is filed under the name uncultured bacterium. Its description in RNAcentral is "partial 16S ribosomal RNA". It matches the Rfam family "Bacterial small subunit ribosomal RNA", at positions 355 to 774 of the family's 1533-position model. The record is from RNAcentral. RNAcentral also lists the same sequence under 1 other name.